UACAGGGGGUGCAAACGUUGCUCGGAAUUAUUGGGCGUAAAGCGCACGUAGGCGGUUCGUUAUGUCGGAUGUGAAAGCCCUUGGCUUAACCGAGGAAGUGCAUCCGAAACUGGCGAGCUAGAGUACGAAAGAGGAUCGCGGAAUUCCCGGUGUAGAGGUGAAAUUCGAAGAUAUCGGGAGGAACACCGGUGGCGAAGGCGGCGAUCUGGGUCGAUCCUGACGCUGAGGUGCGAAAGCGUGGGGAGCAAACAGG
RNAcentral lists this ribosomal RNA (253 nucleotides) under uncultured bacterium. Its description in RNAcentral is "partial 16S ribosomal RNA". It matches the Rfam family "Bacterial small subunit ribosomal RNA", at positions 524 to 776 of the family's 1533-position model. The record is from RNAcentral.